GACGAACGCUGGCGGCGUGCUUAACACAUGCAAGUCGAACGGAAAGGCCCUGCUUUUGUGGGGUGCUCGAGUGGCGAACGGGUGAGUAACACGUGAGUAACCUGCCCUUGACUUUGGGAUAACUUCAGGAAACUGGGGCUAAUACCGGAUAGGAGCUCCUGCUGCAUGGUGGGGGUUGGAAAGUUUCGGCGGUUGGGGAUGGACUCGCGGCUUAUCAGCUUGUUGGUGGGGUAGUGGCUUACCAAGGCUUUGACGGGUAGCCGGCCUGAGAGGGUGACCGGCCACAUGGGGACUGAGAUACGGCCCAGACUCCUACGGGAGGCAGCAGUGGGGAAUAUUGCACAAUGGCGGAAGCCUGAUGCAGCAACGCCGCGUGCGGGAUGACGGCCUUCGGGUUGUAAACCGCUUUCGCCUGUGACGAAGCGUGAGUGACGGUAAUGGGUAAAGAAGCACCGGCUAACUACGUG
RNAcentral lists this ribosomal RNA (467 nucleotides) under uncultured bacterium. RNAcentral describes it as "partial 16S ribosomal RNA". It matches the Rfam family "Bacterial small subunit ribosomal RNA", at positions 28 to 507 of the family's 1533-position model. The record is from RNAcentral.